CCUACGGGAGGCAGCAGUGGGGAAUAUUGCACAAUGGGGGAAACCCUGAUGCAGCGAUGCCGCGUGGAGGAAUAAGGUUUUCGGAUUGUAAACUCCUUUUAUCAGGGACGCUAAGGACGGUACGUGAAGAAAACCGUCCGGCUAACUAAGUGCCAGCCGCCGCGGUCAUACGUAGGGAGCGAGCGUUGUUCGGAAUUACUGGGUGUAAAGGGAGCGUAGGCGGGACGGCAAGUUAGAUGUUAAAACUGUGGGCUCAACUUGCAGACUGCCUUUGAAACUGCUGUUCUUGAGUGGAGUAGAGGUAAGCGGAAUUCGUGGUGUAGCGGUGAAAUGCGUAGAUAUUAGGAAGAACAUCGAUUGCGAAGGCAGCUUACUGGGCUUUUACUGACGCUGAGGCUCGAAAGCGUGGGGAGCAAACAGGAUUAGAUACCCUUGUAGUC
Molecule: ribosomal RNA, 440 nt
Filed under: uncultured bacterium
Lineage: Bacteria
Description: partial 16S ribosomal RNA
Rfam family: Bacterial small subunit ribosomal RNA
Source: RNAcentral